GAAACCCGGUGAUCUAGCCAUGGGCAGGUUGAAGGUUGGGUAACACUAACUGGAGGACCGAACCGACUAAUGUUGAAAAAUUAGCGGAUGACUUGUGGCUGGGGGUGAAAGGCCAAUCAAACCGGGAGAUAGCUGGUUCUCCCCGAAAGCUAUUUAGGUAGCGCCUCGUGAAUUCAUCUCCGGGGGUAGAGCACUGUUUCGGCAAGGGGGUCAUCCCGACUUACCAACCCGAUGCAAACUGCGAAUACCGGAGAAUGUUAUCACGGGAGACACACGGCGGGUGCUAACGUCCGUCGUGAAGAGGGAAACAACCCAGACCGCCAGCUAAGGUCCCAAAGUCAUGGUUAAGUGGGAAACGAUGUGGGAAGGCCCAGACAGCCAGGAUGUUGGCUUAGAAGCAGCCAUCAUUUAAAGAAAGCGUAAUAGCUCACUGGUCGAGUCGGCCUGCGCGGAAGAUGUAACGGGGCUAAACCAUGCACCGAAGCUGCGGCAGCGACGCUUAUGCGUUGUUGGGUAGGGGAGCGUUCUGUAAGCCUGUGAAGGUGGCCUGUGAGGGUUGCUGGAGGUAUCAGAAGUGCGAAUGCUGACAUAAGUAACGAUAAAGCGGGUGAAAAGCCCGCUCGCCGGAAGACCAAGGGUUCCUGUCCAACGUUAAUCGGGGCAGGGUGAGUCGACCCCUAAGGCGAGGCCGAAAGGCGUAGUCGAUGGGAAACAGGUUAAUAUUCCUGUACUUGGUGUUACUGCGAAGGGGGGACGGAGAAGGCUAUGUUGGCCGGGCGACGGUUGUCCCGGUUUAAGCGUGUAGGCUGGUUUUCCAGGCAAAUCCGGAAAACCAAGGCUGAGGCGUGAUGACGAGGCACUAC
RNAcentral lists this ribosomal RNA (863 nucleotides) under Escherichia coli. RNAcentral describes it as "partial 23S ribosomal RNA". It matches the Rfam family "Bacterial large subunit ribosomal RNA", at positions 717 to 1580 of the family's 2925-position model. The record is from RNAcentral. Lineage: Bacteria; Pseudomonadati; Pseudomonadota; Gammaproteobacteria; Enterobacterales; Enterobacteriaceae.